Hyla sarda is the source of this 1093-nucleotide long non-coding RNA. RefSeq lists it as uncharacterized. The transcript is spliced from 3 exons. The record is from RefSeq and is a predicted model, not a curated record. Lineage: Eukaryota; Metazoa; Chordata; Amphibia; Anura; Hylidae.
GCAAACUGCAGUGUUAUGCUGAGGUACAGUUUAGAGAAGUCUGAAGUGUGUGAGGUGAUUCUGAUGAGACCUCAAGUCUAAUCCUGCAACCACGUAUCUGCUAAGUCAUAACCCCAGUACCCAGAAGUUCCAUUUUUCUAUGGUAUAAAUUAUGGUCCUUUUGCUCGGCCACAAGGAAUUUUCUAUCCGCGGCUCCGGAACGUUCAGUCUGCAGUAAACACAGGGAGGGGACAGCAAGUACCAGAAGAAUGGCGAAGUAUGCAGCCUGGCGCUACGCCCAUAGAAUACAGUUUCUGCAUCUGUGCUUUGUUGUGACCAGUAAGUGCACUGCUAUGGGGGCUCAGGACGUGAAUUACCCCAUAUCCCCCCCAAGAUAUCAUAUACAGUAAUACUGGCUAUGUCCUCACAUCUGUAGUAUGCAGUGUGGGCAUCUAUAUAUUUGUACUUAUCUUGACAGAAUAAUACCCCUGACAUGACUUAUGCAGUGUCUUAGUAAUAUGGAUUUAAUCAGUGACCUAGUAAAUAUCUAGCCCCCUUCCGAAUUGAUUAUGAGUGCAUGCACAAAAGUAAAUCACACACAGACACACAUUGUCAGCGUUAACAUAAUUCUAGCUUUAUUAGGCAGUCGUACAGGUUAUAUAGCCAUUGCAAUUAACAUAAGUUCCCACCCUCACUAGGGAGGUAUUGAAAGAGCUUUAUUUGUCAUUCAGUCGUCAUUACAAGUCAUACAAUAAAUUACAAUCACACAAAGCAUGACAGUACAAUAUACAGCACAGGUUCCCUAAGCUAUACACCGUACCACAUGCUAUGCUAACACUCCGCACCAUCACUCGAUAUCGAAGAAACACAGCCGAAAAACAACAACAUAUUACAGUCUGUGAUCGGGGAGAAGUAUGGGAUCAUAUAAGGUAUGCUUUCUCUGUUAGUUUUUUGGUGAAAACUUCUAGGCGUUGGCCAGGACAGGAAGUUCCUCUACAUGAUGGGAGGAGGGGAAGCAAGGAGCAGAAUAGCAUGGGGGAUGGGCUUUGUCAAAUAGUCUUUUUAUAAUGCAUACACGCAUGCAUAUAUAUAUAUAUAUAUAUAUAUAUAUAUA